This 76-nucleotide transfer RNA is filed under the name Candidatus Kaiserbacteria bacterium RIFCSPHIGHO2_02_FULL_49_34. RNAcentral's name for it is "tRNA-Thr". It matches the Rfam family "tRNA". From Rfam's summary of the family: Transfer RNA (tRNA) molecules are approximately 80 nucleotides in length. Their secondary structure includes four short double-helical elements and three loops (D, anti-codon, and T loops). The record is from RNAcentral. Lineage: Bacteria; Candidatus Kaiseribacteriota.
GCCGUUAUAGCUCAGUUGGUAGAGCGCAUCCAUGGUAAGGAUGAGGUCAACAGUUCAAUUCUGUUUAACGGCUCCA